This 682-nucleotide long non-coding RNA is filed under the name Zea mays. Its description in RNAcentral is "drought-responsive long non-coding RNA". Lineage: Eukaryota; Viridiplantae; Streptophyta; Magnoliopsida; Poales; Poaceae. The record is from RNAcentral.
AGUCUUCUCCGAUCCGAGUCCGACGAUCUGUCUCUUCUGUGUUGGUCGCCCCGGACACAGGCUAAUCAAGUUCAAGUUCGACCGCGCGCAGGCUAGCUCCACGCGGCCAUGCCAUCGCUAAUGUCGCUGACGCCGUGGCGGAGGAAGAAGAGGGUGCCUGGUGGGCCGGUGACGGUGCGCACGCGGCGGCGCACCUCGCUGGGUGCUCUGUGGCGGCGCCUGGUGCGGACGCUCACCUGCGCGCGCCGCCCCUACUACUGACCGACCGAUAGACGAUGUAUCUAUCAUCCUCCAUGGACGACGUGCUACGGGAGGAUGAUAUCGGUUGCCAGCUGAUGAGAGAGGUGCUGUGCUAACAGAUGAGGGAUCGAUGCAAUACAAUGCAAGCAAGCUUGUCCGUGAUGUGUUUGUUCAUAGUCGUAUCAUGUGAGACGGUUCUAGCUAAUGUAUCGUGUCGACUACUUUUUUAUACCACCUACGUAUAUAUAUGUAUAAUUUCUAUAUCUAAUAACAUGUGCCCUUCCUCUUGAAAAGUUUGGGCUCUGCUUGCCUGAAAUUUAGAUUGUUGCUACUUCAGAUGUCUGAAAUAUAGAUUGUGUUCAGUGACGUUUCACAUUGUAUUAGAUCUGCAUCCAAAACCAAGAGUCUAGAUUUGUUUAUAGUGAAUUAUAUAUAGUAGAUC